This 1370-nucleotide ribosomal RNA is filed under the name Haloechinothrix alba. RNAcentral's name for it is "bacterial SSU rRNA". It matches the Rfam family "Bacterial small subunit ribosomal RNA", at positions 35 to 1398 of the family's 1533-position model. The record is from RNAcentral. Lineage: Bacteria; Bacillati; Actinomycetota; Actinomycetes; Pseudonocardiales; Pseudonocardiaceae.
GCUGGCGGCGUGCUUUACACAUGCAAGUCGUACGCUGAAGCCCGCUUCGGUGGGUGGAUGAGUGGCGAACGGGUGAGUAACACGUGGGUAACCUGCCCUGCACUUUGGGAUAAGCCUGGGAAACUGGGUCUAAUACCGGAUGGGACUCAUGGCUGCAUGGUCUGUGAGUGGAAAGCCUUUUUGGUGGUGUGGGAUGGGCCCGCGGCCUAUCAGUUUGUUGGUGGGGUGAUGGCCUACCAAGGCGACGACGGGUAGCCGGCCUGAGAGGGUGUUCGGCCACACUGGGANUGAGACACGGCCCAGACUCNUACGGGAGGCAGCAGUGGGGAAUCUUGCACAAUGGGCGAAAGCCUGAUGCAGCGACGCCGCGUGAGGGAUGACGGCCUUCGGGUUGUAAACCUCUUUCGGUACUGANGAAGCCGCAUGUUUUUGUGUGUGGUGACGGUAGGUGCAGAAGAAGCGCCGGCUAACUACGUGCCAGCAGCCGCGGUAAUACGUAGGGCGCGAGCGUUGUCCGGAUUUAUUGGGCGUAAAGAGCUUGUAGGCGGCUUGUCGUGUCUGCCGUGGAAACCGGGGGCUUAACUCUCGGCGUGCGGUGGAUACGGGCAGGCUUGAGUGCGGUAGGGGAGACUGGAAUUCCUGGUGUAGCGGUGAAAUGCGCAGAUAUCAGGAGGAACACCGGUGGCGAAGGCGGGUCUCUGGGCCGUUACUGACGCUGAGGAGCGAAAGCGUGGGGAGCGAACAGGAUUAGAUACCCUGGUAGUCCACGCCGUAAACGUUGGGCGCUAGGUGUGGGUGGCCUUUUGGUUGUCCGUGCCGUAGCUAACGCAUUAAGCGCCCCGCCUGGGGAGUACGGCCGCAAGGCUAAAACUCAAAGGAAUUGACGGGGGCCCGCACAAGCGGCGGAGCAUGUGGAUUAAUUCGAUGCAACGCGAAGAACCUUACCUGGGUUUGACAUGCCGGGAAAUCCUGCAGAGAUGUGGGGUGCCUUCGGGCGUCCGGUGCAGGUGGUGCAUGGCUGUCGUCAGCUCGUGUCGUGAGAUGUUGGGUUAAGUCCCGUAACGAGCGCAACCCUUAUCCUAUGUUGCCAGCACGUCGUGGUGGGGACUCGUGGGAGACUGCCGGGGUCAACUCGGAGGAAGGUGGGGAUGACGUCAAGUCAUCAUGCCCCUUAUGCCCAGGGCUUCACACAUGCUACAAUGGCCGGUACAAAGGGUGGCGAGACCGUGAGGUGGAGCGAAUCCCUGGAAAGCUGGUCUCAGUUCGGAUCGUAGUCUGCAACUCGACUACGUGAAGUCGGAGUCGCUAGUAAUCGCAGAUCAGCAACGCUGCGGUGAAUACGUUCCCGGGCCUUGCACACACCGCCCGUC